Molecule: small RNA, 133 nt
Filed under: Klebsiella variicola
Lineage: Bacteria; Pseudomonadati; Pseudomonadota; Gammaproteobacteria; Enterobacterales; Enterobacteriaceae
Description: RtT sRNA
Rfam family: RtT RNA
About the family: This family represents a bacterial cis-regulatory element known as RtT RNA. The exact function of RtT is unknown although it is thought that it may be involved in changing the cellular response in relation to amino acid starvation.
Source: RNAcentral
UAUUCUGCCCUACCGGGAAGGAUGAGAAGCUUCGACUAAGGUUCGACUCGAGCGCCAGCGAGAGAACGUUGCCGCAGGCAACGGCCCGAAGGGCGAGGAGCGAUAGCGACGAGUUAUCCUUCCCCCACCACCA